Molecule: ribosomal RNA, 253 nt
Filed under: uncultured bacterium
Lineage: Bacteria
Description: partial 16S ribosomal RNA
Rfam family: Bacterial small subunit ribosomal RNA
Source: RNAcentral
AACGUAGGACGCAAGCGUUAUCCGGAGUUACUGGGCGUAAAGCGCGGGCAGGCGGUGAUUUAAGUCUGAUGUGAAAGCUCCCGGCUCAACCGGGAGAGGCCAUUGGAAACUAAAUCGCUGGAGGGCAGUAGAGGUAGGCGGAAUUCCGGGUGGAGUGGUGAAAUGCGUAGAGAUCCGGAGGAACACCAGAGGCGAAGGCGGCCUACUGGGCUGCACCUGACGCUGAGCCGCGAAAGCCAGGGGAGCGAACGGG